GUACUUACCUGGCAGGGGAGAUACCAUGAUCGCGAAGGUGGUUUUCCCAGGGCGGGGCUUAUCCAUUGCACUCCGGAUGUGCUGACUACUGCGAUUUCCCAAAUGUGGGAAACUUGACUGCAUAAUCUGUGGUAGUGGAGGACUCCGUUCGUGCUUUCUCCUG
This 163-nucleotide small nuclear RNA is filed under the name Aotus nancymaae (Ma's night monkey). Its description in RNAcentral is "U1 spliceosomal RNA (ENSANAG00000019807.1)". It matches the Rfam family "U1 spliceosomal RNA". Rfam says of the family: U1 is a small nuclear RNA (snRNA) component of the spliceosome (involved in pre-mRNA splicing). The record is from Rfam by way of RNAcentral. Lineage: Eukaryota; Metazoa; Chordata; Mammalia; Primates; Aotidae.